GAUGAAAGAACGUAGCAAAAUGCGAUAAGUAAUGUGAAUUGCAGAAUUCAGUGAAUCAUCGAAUCUUUGAACGCACAUUGCGCCCGCCAGUAUUCUGGCGGGCAUGCCUGUUCGAGCGUCAUUUCAACCCUCAAGCACAGCUUGGUGUUGGGACUCGCGUUAAUUCGCGUUCCUCAAAUUGAUUGGCGGUCACGUCGAGCUUCCAUAGCGUAGUAGUAAAACCCUCGUUACUGGUAAUCGUCGCGGCCACGCCGUUAAACCCCAACUUCUGAAUGUUGACCUCGGAUCAGGUAGGAAUACCCGCUGAACUUAAGCAUAUCAAUAAGCGGAGGA
This 333-nucleotide unclassified non-coding RNA is filed under the name soil metagenome. RNAcentral describes it as "partial contains 5.8S ribosomal RNA, internal transcribed spacer 2, and large subunit ribosomal RNA". The stretch from base 6 to 121 matches the Rfam family "5.8S ribosomal RNA", at positions 39 to 154 of the family's 154-position model. The record is from RNAcentral.